Molecule: long non-coding RNA, 2005 nt
Filed under: Heterocephalus glaber (naked mole-rat)
Lineage: Eukaryota; Metazoa; Chordata; Mammalia; Rodentia; Bathyergidae
Description: lncRNA (ENSHGLG00100035824.1)
Source: RNAcentral
GGCAGAGACUGAAGAGACAGGCUGUGAAGCUAUGGAGCUCAGUGUGAGAUAAUGUAGCAGCCUAGGUUGGGGUGACUUGCACUCAAAUUCUGUUCCCAAAGUUAAGCCUGUUCUUUACUAAAGAGACAAGCAUGGAGCAGGACAUCAGGAUCCGCUGCAGAGGUCUCUGAUAAUAGUUCAGUGAUAUGGUGGUGCAUGCCCGGGACCCCCACACUUGAAGGACUGAAGCAUGAGGAUUGCUGCAAGUUUAAGGCCAGCAAGGACUACAUAGUGAGACUCUGUUAAAACUACAAAACAAAACAAAAAGAGGCAAAAUGCAUAGGAAGCAUACAGGAAUCAGGAGACUAACAUGGUCAGAGAUUCCAGUGACUGUCUAGAAUCAAAGUUUUCUCAACAAGCUGAAACCAAAAAGAUGAUUAUAACCUGGAAAACAUGUCUCUGGAACCUUUUGAUAGAGUCAGUUUGGAAUGCAAAGCCUUCACAUCAUGAAAAGUAGAAAGGCUGACGAGCACUCUGAUGUUCUAAAUCUAAGCUCUCUGGUUACCUGUGUCAGAGGACCUGCCUCAUGCUCAUGCCUCAGUCUCAUCACCUCAGCCCUUACCUCUUCCUCACUCAGCUCCUGAGGACAAACUGGGAGGAAGAAAUUGAGUUGGAGAGAAGUGAAUGAUUUGUUCAAGGUUAUAGAGUCUGUGCAACUCUGUUACAGAAGGACAAAAUGGACUAAGACAGCUAUCAAGACUGCAUCCUCAGUGGCAGGUAGUUGAGACUGAGAGGAUCCAGGGUGGCAAGACUUUCACGCACACUUCAGAAUAAUGAAAAACAGUUAUUGGGAAAAUGUCAUGUCCUCACAGCUCACUCUACAUGCUGCUACUAAUCUUAUUUGUACAAGUACAGGCAUAAAUCCACUAACAACAGACAGCAGCUCUUUCCCUUUGUUACAAUUUAGUAUUGAUUUCUGUGCAGGAAGGUUGAAAUGAAUCCCAGAAUGGGUUUAAUUACGAAUAUACACAAAAAAGUAAUUGGCACAAUAAGUGAGGAGUUCGUUAGCAGGUUGCUUUUUUUUUUUUUUUUUUUUUUAACAGAAUUAUAGUAUUCUCCUCAAUCAGCAGUAGUAAUCAACAAUGAAGAAAUAAAAAAUAGAGUCCUUGGCCCUACAUAAAAUUCAUUUCUCUUUCCUCUUUUUGUCAAUUUCUACAAAAAAGUUGCAAUGCCAUGCCUGUUUCUUGGUAUACCAAUGUUAAUAAUGACAUAAUAAAUGCCAAACUGGAAACUUGAAUUAGAAUGAGGCAUGGAAGAAAGAGGGUGAACAGUAUGUAUUCCCCAUUAAAAUACAGGAGGAGGCUGCCUUCCAAAACUGAUCUGAGUCUGAUAUGAGGUAAGCUAUCACUCUAUUUGUCAGCAUUUUUACAUUUUUGAUAGUCUUUCAAAUAGCUCUAAAAACUUACCUCAAUGCUAUCUUGUCUACUGAUGGUUUUUAUAUUGUAAAUAGAUGAGUCUGAAACUUCAUUUCACAAUGUGUUUCUUUCCUCACAGGUCGAUUGUGUUUCCACUAUCUCACUUUGUUCUGGGGACGCAAAUUGGUUUCUUGGGUCAUGCUGUUAUUAAUAUGAUUUUUUAAAAAAUAAUUGAAUUUAACACCAAGGUCGGUUGAGAAAACAAGCAAAAUGAAAAUGAUAAUUCUUGGUGUGAAAACAACAAAAAGUGAAAUGGAACACAAUGGUCUUCAUUGGUUACUUCAAAAUGUCUGAGAUAUGUUGGGCUUAUUAAUGGUAUAAUAUAGCAGAAAUGGGGCUUGCUGAGGCAUUGCUGUUCAUAUGAAUGGUCCAUUAGAAAUCAUGAUAGGCCAACAAGAAAAACUUCAUGGAUUUAUUUAGUUUUUUGCCCCUAAGUGUAGUGUUUCUUUCUCAUUACAGAAGUAUUUUCUGUAAUAAAUCAAUGUUAUAUUUUUGUUAUAAAAUUAAUAAUAAAUUCCUAUGAUUAUGAGGUUUGUCUCUGCCAGUAUGGG